This is a ribosomal RNA of 436 nucleotides. It matches the Rfam family "Bacterial small subunit ribosomal RNA", at positions 341 to 792 of the family's 1533-position model.
ACGGAAGGCAGCAGCGGGGAAUAUUGGGCAAUGGGGGAAACCCUGACCCAGCAACGCCGCGUGAAGGAAGAAGGCCUUCGGGUUGUAAACUUCUUUUACCAGGGACGAAUUUAUGACGGUACCUGGAGAAAAAGCAACGGCUAACUACGUGCCAGCAGCCGCGGUAAUACGUAGGUUGCAAGCGUUGUCCGGAUUUACUGGGUGUAAAGGGCGUGUAGGCGGAGCUGCAAGUCAGAUGUGAAAUCCCGGGGCUCAACCCCGGAACUGCAUUUGAAACUGUAGCCCUUGAGUAUCGGAGAGGCAAGCGGAAUUCCUAGUGUAGCGGUGAAAUGCGUAGAUAUUAGGAGGAACACCAGUGGCGAAGGCGGCUUGCUGGACGACAACUGACGCUGAGGCGCGAAAGCGUGGGGAGCAGACAGGAUUAGAUACCCUGGUA